CUGCCCACUCAGGUUCCCGUAGCAGCUGCAGCAAUUCAAAACAGGAAGUCGCUCUCUGUUGUUCGGCGGGGACCGGAAAAGCUAAACCAAAACAAGCCGUAUUGCGUUACUGUCGCGCAGCAGAGCUUUUACAAAGUGUACAACAAGAUGAAAGAAAAAUAAAACACACGACAGAGAGAGACAGAUUCGUCGUAAGAAACCGAUUUAUUUGACGGGCUCGGCGAGACGUUUAUUUAGAAGGUAGAACGGCUGACAGAUCCGCUGCUGAAGCGCCUUACGGUGUCUGGUCUUCUUCGGAGAAUGAGAAGGCUUUCCGGUGCUGUCCACAAGUGUCGUGUUUCUUUGUUUCUCCCACACCGGACAUCAUUCUCAUCAUUAAACACCAAGCACAUGAAUACCAAGGAAGAGAAGGCCAGGUAAAGAUAUGGCAUAUUUAAAGGAAAGCGUCUGCAAGCGUAUUCAUUGACAAGAAAGCAUGAUUGAAAUGGAGAGAGAAAGAGGAAUGAAGGGAGGAACAGAGGAGGAGGAGGGAAAGAGAGGAACGGAGGAGCGAGAUAAGCCACCGGACCUUUCAAUGGAAUGUUCUGCAGUGUUUUACGACAACUUGCAGCUGCUAGGCUGACCUUGGUGUAAAGUUUAGAUCGAAGAUGGAUCUCGUCCCCAUAAAACAAGAAGUCCUACAAAUGCAAUAUGACCCUGAACAAAACAGCCCUGGUCCAGUUGGACACAGCAUUAAACCAGAAGUACCAGAGCUUGACACGUCACUCAAAUGGGAUCUACCUAGAGGCACUGAGUCUCACUGCGCAUUUGGAAGCUUUCAAAUACACCAGAGUUUCAGUCAGUUACCCAGCUUUCGGGUAAACCAGCAAACUCACCCAAGACAAGAAGCGUAUUCCUGUACCCAGCAUGGUUUCUUUCAACUCUCCAGCCACGUGAAGCGCAAAAGAAACCACGAAGGACAGAAAACGUGUCUGUGCCCUGAAUGUGGCAAGACUUUCUCUCUUAUAAAUGAGCUUAAAAUACACCUCAGAAUCCACACAGGAGAGAAACCCUAUCACUGUAGCGAAUGUGGGAAGAGUUUCAAUCAGUCAGGCAACCUGAAAACGCAUCAGCGAAUCCACACACAGGAGAAACCGUAUCACUGUCCUGAAUGUGGAAAGAGCUUCACUCAGAUCACAAACCUCAAGAACCACCUGCUGACGCACACAGGAGACAAACCACACCAGUGCACCGAAUGUGGUAAGAACUUCACACAGCUUAUCAACCUGAAAAUACACCAGCGUAUUCACACUGGAGAGAAACCGUACUCCUGUAGCGAAUGUGGGAAGAGAUUUGCACAGCUCAGCAACCUGAAAAACCAUCAGCAAAAGCACACAGGAGUGAAACCACAUCAGUGUACUGAAUGUGGGAAGGGUUUCAGUACGUUAAGAUACUUCAAAAAACACCAGCAAAAUCAUGCAAGAGAGAGAAGAUAGAUAGCUCUGUGCAGUUUCGUCGGUUCAACAGACAGCAUUUUAUAAUCCACUCUGGCAUAAGCCAAAAUAUUGUAUUGUAAGUAUUCCAGUAAAAAAAAAAAAAAAUCUGAAAAAAGGCAGAAUAUACAACAGGGUUCAUUGCUCCCAAGUAAUACAGAUUAACAACACUUUGCAGACUUGGAUACUCAUUUGAAGUAGUUAACUAGCUUUUAAACAAGGGUUAGAUCAGUAUAUUCAGCUCAUCAUUGGGAGCCAUGUUGACGUGGAGUCCGCAGGUUCUGCCCAGCAGCACUGGAUGUUAGAUGACCUAAGUGCUGCUUGCCAUGUCCCAUAUUUAUAAGAAACUAUCACAAGAUUUCACCUCCACCCUUCUCACUCCCAUCCCCCUGGGGUCAUGGUUGCUGCAGGUUAUACAAAGAGGUUGUUACAGCACUUGCCCCAUGUGUGUUCUUAGGGUGUUUUCUGUUCCUGCAAUAAAGAUUAUUGCUUGUUACAAGUUUCUGUUUAACAUUUGCUGCUUCCUUACUCAAAAUAGUUGCACCUUUGAUCUAAAUUAAGGUGUUGUUAUACAUUUUCUCUACAAGGUUAAUGCAGUAGGAUCCUUUUUAUACUGGUUUAACUGAAAGUAUGGUAUCUCAAAAUAUGGUUCUACUACAUUGUAGUUGCUUUGUUAACAUUGGGGCAUUAUAAAUGAAUAAUAUCAGGUACAUCAUUGUGUCUAAAACACCAAAGUAUGGUACUGCACAUAUACUAUCAAAGAAGAUUAGUGAAAAUUAUUGCAAAAACAAAACACUGUAAUGCAGUAUUUGGCAAUUUGCAAAACAGCAUUCCAAAAACAGUUCUUGAUUUCACAGUCCACGUCAAAGUAGCCCAAUAGUUGUUUUUUUUUCCACUGUAAGUGUAAACCCAAAACAGAAAUGGCGUUAAAAUAAAAGAAGAAGAAGAAGAAAAAGAAAGUCUGCACACAAACAAUCUUGUUUCAGCUUUUUUAACGGUACUGAACAUGGUUAAACUGGGCAGUUACCUGAAGUGAUAGAAUGUACAUAGUGAAAAUGAACUCUUUUUUUUUUAUCUGCAACUGAAUCCAUUCUCUCCUGCUGAGAGCUGAAUUUACUGUUUAAGAUCCACAAUAAAAUGUGCAUUGAUCAGUUUCCAUCAGUAUCGUUAAGUUGGUAGCAGCAGCAUGUGCAAAACUCUCUGUGUCUAAGUCUAUUUCUGUGUCUAAGUUUAUCUCUGUCUAUCUCUCUGUCUAAGUCUAGCACUAUGUCUACAGUGAGUCUGUCUCUGUUUAAGUCACUUUCUACGCCAGAAAUCCAUCAGUUAAUAGAGGGGAUUAGAUAUGACAUGUUCUACUGUAGUAGGAUAAUCAUAUAGGCUAAUAAGCUUCACUUUACUUACCUUACUUUGACUGGAACAGUUAGGCAUGUCAAAUAAUUACUUUAGUAGAAACAACAAAGAAUCUUACAGGAUCAGAUUUUAAAUACAUAAGAAUUAAAUAUUAGGAAAAAGCUUGUAUUAAAAAGUAAACUUUAACUUCAAAGAAUGUCUGAUAUGUAAAUAUUGUUUUCUUAUCUCGUCUCUUUUUUAUGAUGUUUGCAAACAGUCCUGUUGUUCUAAUAUUGCUGUUUUUUAAAUAUUUUUUUUUUCUCUAUUGCUUAAUCUUACUGGCUGUAAAUAAAUGGCACUUUUCCAAAACCUUUGAGUGACUUAUAAUCAGACUUACAAGCAGAAUUGUAUAUUGGUCGUAUUAGUGAGGUCAUUUAAUCCAGGUUGUAGUUUUUAUUAGGGACUGCAAAUGGUGGCUGUAAUAAGAUCUGGGAUCAAUUACAAUUGUAGUUGAACCUUGGCACACCUGUGUAAUUGUAUUUGUAAUUGUAAUUAUCAUAUAAUUGAUCAAUUACAUGCCUUUCCAAGCUUAAUCAUUCGCAGUUCCAUGUUGUGUUUUACACUGAGCGAACAUUCUUGUAUUAUGAACCACCUUUCCCAUGGGUUUGAAAAAACGUUCUAUGGUAUGUUUCUGUGUUUGUACCUGCGAUUACUGCUGGGUAGAAUAGACAGAGUGUUACUUUGUAGUGCAAUUGUAACUAUAAUCGCAAUCACUGCAGCAUAAUUGUAACUGUAAUUAUAAUUGAACAAAAUAUCAUUGGAAUUGGAAUUUCAACUUCAGCAAACAAUUCUGCUGUAAUUGUAAAUGUAAUUGUAAUUAUAAUUGACCCCCAGGCCUGGCUGUAAGCCGUAAUAUCGGGUUAGCCUUUAUAUUGAAGGUCUUUUAACAUUGAAUUCAAUGGAAACAAAUCUGGAUUUUUGUACCGAGAUGGCUGUGCAUUGUUUGUCCACAUAGAAUUUUAGAAAUCAUUGUACAUGUAAAGGAGUCACCCUCCUAUAUUUUCAAUGCAAAAUGUACCAGUUCAAGUUUGUCUGCGAAAUGUAUAGUCCUAGGAAGGUUUUAUUUUUUCUUUAAUUAACCAGAUAAUUGAAAGAAAAUGUCAACUUUAAUUGUUUGUUUUUGAUCAUGCCUUGUAGUUUUUAAUCAACUGUUGAACUAACUAAAGACUCUCUGUUUUAUCAAAAUCAAGUGUGUGUUUAUUUAUUUAUUUAGCCUUUUUUGUUAUAGGACAGUUUUACAUCAAUAGCUCAUUGGGCACAUACAUAAUGUUAUUUACAUUUGAAAUAGUGAGCAGAUAGGUUUGUUUUUGUUUGAGUAGUAUUGUUCCUUGGGAUAACAAAAUACUGAGCUCAAGUCAUGUGAUUUCAUACAAAUGCCAGGUGCUCAGUGUUUGGUAUAUCAGUUGAGUUAAAAUUGUGAAAAUGAGUUGAUAAAGAAUCUGUAUAAAUAGCCAUUUGAAGAGACAUGAUUUUAUUUAACGCAAGAACAGCAAAAGAUAGGACCAUGUCCCGCUUGAGUAAUGAAGCUUGCCUGGUUGCUAUCAGCAUGAAGGUGGCCUUUCUGAGAGAAGAUGCCUGGAGAAUGAGAUGUUCUGCUUCAACAAUCAGCAGACUAGCUCUGUGAGGGACAGGCCAUGUCCUGGAAGGCAGAGGGUCACCACAACGGCCCAAGACUGUCACAUCCGACUGAUCCAUCUGCGUAAUCAUUUUCAGACUGCAGUGGCUACAGCACAAGAAAUUCCAGGAAGAAAUAACCCACACAUCAGCAGAAUGACUGUAGCUCGUCGUCUGUAUGAAAAUGAUUUGCAUGCUCGGAGGCUGUUCAGGGGUAACAGCUGAGAGAUGAAAUCGCGGUCUUCUGUGGGCCAGAGAGUGGUGGAGUGUUUUAUUCACCAAUGAAUGCCGUUUUGCCAUUGACAGACCUGACAGAAGACAAUGUGUGUGAAGAUUUCGUGGUGAGCAUUAUGCUGUUGCAUUGUUCAAGCCAACCGGUGGGGCGGUGGAAGUGUGAUGAUGUGGGGAGGAAUCUCCUUUAACACAAGAAAGUCUUUGGUGCAGAUUUAGGGCAACCUUACUGCUCAGCAAUACAUUGAUGAAGUCCUUAAGGCAACAGUUUUUCCGUUCUUGCAAGCCAGACAGUGCUAGGAUUACAAUUGCAGGACUUCAAGAAAACAAUGUCAAGGUCUUGCCAUGGCCAGCUUUUUCUCCUGAUCUGAGUCCAAUAGAACAUCUGUGGGACCAAAUUGACAGUGCCUUCCACAGGAGACAACCGCGAACAGCCAACCUUCAGCAGCUGGCUGCAGCUGCCCAGCAAGAGUGGCGGAACAUACAGUACACCCCCUUUCAAAAUGUUCACCUUUUGUUGCCUUAUAGCCUGGAAUUAAAAUGCAUUACAUUUUUUUUUUCAUUUAUCUACACAUCCUACCCCACAACUUCCGAGUGAAAAAAAUAUUCUAGAAAUUUGUAGAAAAUUAAUUAAAAAUAAAAACUGAAAUAGCUUGGUUGGAUAAGUGUCCACCCACCUUCUAAUAGCAAUCCUAAAUUAGCUCAGGUGUAACCAAUCGCCUUCAAAAUCACACACCAAGUUAAGUGGCCUCCACCUGUGUUAAAUUCUAGUGAUUCACAUGAUUUCAGAAUAAAUUCAGCAGUUCCUGUAGGUUCCCUCUGCUGGGUAGUGCAUUUCAAAGCAAAGACUCAACCAUGAGCACCAAGGAGCUUUCAAAAGAACUCCGGGACAAAUUUGUUCAAAGGCACAGAUUAGGGGAUGGGUAUAAAAAAAACAUCAAAGGCCUUGAAUAUCCCUUGGAGCACGGUCAAGACGAUUAUUAAGAAGUGGAAGGUGUAUGGCACCACCAAGACCCUGCCUAGAUCAGGCCGUCCCUCCAAGGAGAGGCUACCAAGACUUUGCAAGAGUUACAGGCUUUAAUGGCCAGUACUCGUCAAAGUGUGCAUGUGCCAACAAUAUCCCAAGCACAAAUUUGGCCUGUAUGGUAGGGUGGCAAGAAGGAAGCCAUUACUCAAGAAAGCCCACCUUAAAUCCCGUUCGAAGUAUGCAAAAAAACAUUCAGGAGAUUCUGUAGCCAUGUGGCAAAAAGUUUUGUGGUCUGACGAAACUAAAAUGGAACUUUUUGGCCUAAAUGAAAAGCGUUAUGUUUGGCGCAAACCCAACACAGCUCAUCACCCAAAGAACACCAUCCAUACUGUGAAGCAUGGUGGUGGCAGCAUCAUGUUAUGGGGAUGUUUCUCAUCGGCAGGGACUGGGGCACUUGUCAGGAUAGAAGGGACCAUGAAUGGAGCAAAGUACAGAGAAGUCCUUGAGGAAAACCUGCUUCCCUCUACAAGAAAGCUGAAACUGGGAUGAAAGUUCACCUUUCAGCAUGACAACAUAAGAACAUAAGAAAGUUUACAAACGAGAAGAGGCCAUUCAGCCCAUCUUGCUCGUUUGGUUGUUAGUAGCUUAUUGAUCCCAGAAUCUCAUCAAGCAGCUUCUUGAAAGAUCCCAGGGUGUCAGCUUCAACAACAUUACUGGGGAGUUGGUUCCAGACCCUCACAAUUCUCUGUGUAAAAAAGUGCCUCCUAUUUUCUGUUCUGAAUGCCCCUUUAUCUAAUCUCCAUUUGUGACCCCUGGUCCUUGUUUCUUUUUUCAGGUCAAAGAAGUCCCCUGGGUCGACAUUGUCUAUACCUUUUAGAAUUUUGAAUGUUUGAAUCAGAUCGCCGAGUAGUCUUCUUUGUUCAAGACUGAAUAGAUUCAAUUCUUUUAGCCUGUCUGCAUACGACAUGCCUUUUAAACCCGGGAUAAUUCUGGUUGCUCUUCUUUGCACUCUUUCUAGAGCAGCAAUAUCCUUUUUGUAACGAGGUGACCAGAACUGAACACAAUAUUCUAGAUGAGGUCUUACUAAUGCAUUGUAGUUUUAACAUUACUUCCCUUGAUUUAAAUUCAACACUUCUCACAAUAUAUCCGAGCAUCUUGUUGGCCUUUUUUAUAGCUUCCCCACAUUGUCUAGAUGAAGACAGUUCUGAGUCAACAUAAACUCCUAGGUCUUUUUCAUAGUUCCCUUCUUCAAUUUCAGCAUCUCCCAUAUUAUAUUUAUAAUGAACAUUUUUAAUGCCUGCAUGCAAUAUUUUACACUUUUCUCUAUUAAAUGUCAUUUGCCAUGUGUCUGCCCAGUUCUGAAUGGUGUCUAGAUCAUUUUGAAUGACCUUUCCUGCUGCAACAGUGUUUGCCACUCCUCCUAUUUUUGUGUUGUCUGCAAAUUUAACAACGACCCAAUGCACAGAGUCAAAGCUACACUGGAGUGGAUAAGGAACAAAAUGGUAAAUGUCCUUCAGAGUCCCAGUCAGAGUUCCAACUUAAAUGCAAUCGAAAAUUUGUGGCAUGACUUGAACUCUGCUGUCCAUCAAUGCUCCCCUAGGAACUUGACAGAGCUUGCACAGUUUUCUAAAGAAUAAUGGUCAAAUAUUGCCAAAUCUAGGUGUGUAAAGUUGGUAGAGACCUAUCCCAACAGACUCACAACUGUAAUUGCUGCCAAAGGUGCUUGCACGAAGUAUUUUGUACUUGUACUUUGCUUGAACAAAAGUUAUUGUAUUUCUUGCUCUUAUUGUAUUGUAACACUUGAAAUGUAUUUGCUUACGAUUGUAAGUCACCCUGGAUAAGGGCGUCUGCUAAGAAAUAAAUAAUAAUAAUAAUAAU
Acipenser ruthenus (sterlet) is the source of this 7551-nucleotide long non-coding RNA. RefSeq lists it as uncharacterized. Lineage: Eukaryota; Metazoa; Chordata; Actinopteri; Acipenseriformes; Acipenseridae. The record is from RefSeq and is a predicted model, not a curated record. The transcript is spliced from 4 exons.